Molecule: long non-coding RNA, 605 nt
Filed under: Mus spicilegus (steppe mouse)
Lineage: Eukaryota; Metazoa; Chordata; Mammalia; Rodentia; Muridae
Description: lncRNA (ENSMSIG00000028756.1)
Source: RNAcentral
UGUUCAUAGCAAAGACUGCUGAAUGUAACUGGAACGGAAGGCGUUUUGUGAUUGACAGAAGCUGAGGGGGCCAAGUUGUCCCUGUGGGAAGGUGUGCAGAGGCCCUAGGAGUUACAACCCACUUUUACCUUGCCUUCCCAGCCUGGCACAAGCUGGGAGACAGGAUGGACAUAGGCAGGCGGCCUGGAGGAUUGGGGUUACAGAACACGGCUGGGGCUUGCGGAUUUCUCUGGCUGUGGAGACUUGUGGUGAAGGACAUAUGGCCAGCUGCUGGGAACUGAUUCUACUUGAGAGCUUGUGAAAAAUAACAUUAUUUUUUAUAUUGGAGCCAAGAUCACUGUAUGAAGCAGGAUGCAACUUGAUCAUGAUAUUUUUUUCUAAAGCCAAACCAUGAACUUUCCAGUGAAGUUUAUGAGAGGAAGCCCUUCCCCUGGUUUCCUUACAGUCUAUGUCCAUCUUGGUUCUCACUUGUAAUACACACGGAAGACUAUAGAGUGCUGACACAUGGUCUCUUGUGUGCAGCAUAGUCCAGGAUGUGGUCUUGGCCUCCUACAGGCCUUACCUGCCACUCUGUACUGAAGCUUCCUCCCAGCUAGAUGCCACCC